RNAcentral lists this ribosomal RNA (939 nucleotides) under Triticum aestivum (bread wheat). Its description in RNAcentral is "partial small subunit ribosomal RNA". Lineage: Eukaryota; Viridiplantae; Streptophyta; Magnoliopsida; Poales; Poaceae. The record is from RNAcentral.
AUGGACGCGGACGACGUCGGCCUCGCCCUCCACCCGCACGGCGGGCUCCUCGCCGCCGCCGCCGCCUCCCGCCCGGCCGCCUACCCCAAGGCCGCCGCCGCCGCGGGGGGCAUCGUCGCGCCGGGGAGCAGCGUGCACGAGCUGCUCGAGUGCCCCGUCUGCACCAACUCCAUGUACCCGCCGAUCCACCAGUGCCAAAAUGGACAUACUCUGUGUUCCACAUGCAAAGCUAGGGUACACAAUCGUUGCCCUACUUGCCGACAAGAGCUCGGUGAUAUCAGGUGUUUGGCACUGGAGAAAGUAGCCGAAUCGCUUGAGCUUCCCUGUAAGCACUAUUCCUUGGGUUGCCCAGAGAUCUUCCCAUACUACAGCAAGAUAAAGCAUGAAGCGAUGUGCAGCUUUAGACCAUACAGUUGCCCCUACGCUGGUUCUGAGUGUUCUGUGACUGGUGAUAUUCCUUACCUUGUUAACCAUUUGAGGGAUGACCACAAAGUUGAUAUGCACAGCGGUUGCACAUUCAACCAUAGAUACGUCAAAUCCAACCCAAGAGAAGUCGAAAAUGCCACCUGGAUGCUAACGGUGUUUCACUGUUUCGGGCAGUACUUCUGCCUGCACUUUGAGGCCUUCCAGCUUGGGAUGGCACCAGUGUACAUGGCCUUCCUGCGUUUCAUGGGGGACGAGAAUGAGGCGCGGAACUACAGUUACAGCCUUGAGGUCGGCGCCAAUGGCAGGAAGAUGGUAUGGGAGGGCACCCCCAGGAGCGUCCGGGACAGCCACCGGAAGGUGCGUGACAGCCACGAUGGUCUCCUAAUCCAGAGGAACAUGGCAUUGUUCUUCUCGGGCGGCGACCGGAAGGAGCUGAAGCUAAGGAUCACCGGCCGGAUCUGGAAGGAGACGCAGACCCCGGAUGGUGCCUGCGUACCAGUUCUCUGUAGCUAA